UCCGGUAUGGUGUAGUGGCUAACAUUUCGCGCUCUCAUAAACUGAGGGACUAGCACCGCGGAGCCCAGGGUUCGAUUCCCUGUACCGGAG
This is a non-coding RNA of Fusarium oxysporum f. sp. cubense, 90 nucleotides long. NCBI's taxonomy places the organism in Eukaryota, Fungi, Ascomycota, Sordariomycetes, Hypocreales, Nectriaceae. The record is from Rfam.